GGUCCCUUAGCUCAGUUGGUUAGAGCGUGGUGCUAAUAUUGGGUGAUUUACUGGACCUCUAGUGAGGAACAUAUCGAUAUAUAGUAACGCCAAGGUCGCAGGUUCGACCCCUGCAGGGACCA
This 122-nucleotide transfer RNA is filed under the name Ascodesmis nigricans. It matches the Rfam family "tRNA". From Rfam's summary of the family: Transfer RNA (tRNA) molecules are approximately 80 nucleotides in length. The record is from Rfam by way of RNAcentral. Lineage: Eukaryota; Fungi; Ascomycota; Pezizomycetes; Pezizales; Ascodesmidaceae.